GAGUGCGGUCAUACCAGCACAAAUGCAUCGGAUCCCAUUACAACUCCGCAGCUAAGCGUGCUUGGGCAAGAGUAGUACUAGGAUGGGUGACCUCUUGGGAAGUCCUCGUGUUGCAUCCC
Beta vulgaris subsp. vulgaris (sugar beet) is the source of this 119-nucleotide non-coding RNA. The record is from Rfam. NCBI's taxonomy places the organism in Eukaryota, Viridiplantae, Streptophyta, Magnoliopsida, Caryophyllales, Amaranthaceae.